Molecule: RNA transcript, 2425 nt
Organism: Budorcas taxicolor (takin)
Lineage: Eukaryota; Metazoa; Chordata; Mammalia; Artiodactyla; Bovidae
Gene: GDPGP1
Gene name: GDP-D-glucose phosphorylase 1
Exons: 4
Source: RefSeq, a predicted model, not a curated record
CCCCGCGAUGGCCCCGGUAGGAGUUUGGGGGAAGUCGCGCGGUGUGUCCUCCUCACCUGCAGUAGGUGUCGGGGGUGGCAGCCGUGGAGGCCUUGGGCGGAGUCCGGGGAGUGUUUGGAGCCGGGAUUACCAAGAAACCUCGUGGCUCGCUGAGUGGCCCGUGGCGGUCGGCUGCCAUCUCUGCCCAGCGAGGGCUUUUCCACCCGGACGUUGCCAUUCGUCACCUGCCGUACUAGUUGCAACCCUCAUGCCACGUCUGCAGAAAUAACCAUAACCUUGCUGCCUGCUGAGGCUGUUUAUUGAGAGCCCACCGAGUCCCAAGCGCUGUGCAUAGUUAGCUUCAAUUCUUAAAUCUUUGCAAGUUUCUGGACCAGCAGAGCUGAGGGUGUCCAAGCUUGUUCUGAGGCGACUCAACUGAGGUCAGCCCCAUGGCUAUUCCACAUGCUUCAAAUAAAACUUCCUAUUUGCUGCCUCCAAACAAGGACAACUGGGAAGGUCAGGGUAUUCCUGACUUUGUCUACGGGCAGGAGGAACUCGUGAUGGAAGGGGUUCAGUGGCCAAGGGGUGCGCUCAGCCUCCUGAACACGCCACCACUGUCUCCCUUUGACUCUGCCCUCUGCUCAGCCUGGAGGCAGCGGAUGGAGAUGGGGCUGUUCCGCUACCCACUGGGGGAGCUGCCAACCCAAACCCUCCCUGGGACCAUGGGUUUUGUGGCUCAGCUGAACGUGGAGCGAGGUGUGCAGAGAAGGCGCCCCCAGAACAUCAAGAGUGUGAGGCAGGAGUUUGACCCUGAACAGUUUAACUUCAACCAGAUCCGGCCAGGAGAGGUCCUUUUUCGUCUACACCGGAAGCGGGACUGCCCCGGCACUGUCCAACAAGAGGACAUCCUGGUGGUGAUCAACGUCAGCCCCUUGGAGUGGGGCCACGUGCUGCUGGUGCCUGAACCUGCCAGGGGGCUCCCCCAGCGCCUGCUGCCCGGGGCGCUGCGGGCCGGGGUCGAGGCUGUACUGCUGAGCUCACACCCGGGCUUCCGCGUGGGCUUCAACAGCCUGGGUGGCCUGGCCUCGGUGAACCACCUCCACCUGCAUGGCUACUACCUGGCACACCGGCUGCCCGUGGAGGGGGCCCCCAGUGAACCCCUGGACCCUCGGGGCCGUCUGCAUGUGCUCCAGGCCCUCCCAGCUCCUGGCUUCCUCUUUUACACCAGUAGGCCAGGGCCUGACUUGGAAGCCUUGAUAAGCAGGGUGUGUCGGGCCACUGACUACCUGACUGACUGUGAGAUUGCGCAUAACUUGUUUGUCACCCGGGGGGCCCCUCCUGGAAAGACAUCAUCUUCCUCAGCUCUCUCGGGAGUCCGGGUCAUUCUGUGGCCCCGGAAGCCCAGCUUUGGGAUAAAGGAAGGUCAGGCAUUCAACGUUGCCCUCUGUGAGCUGGCUGGGCACCUCCCGGUCAAAACGGCCCAAGACUUCAGCAGCCUGACAGAGGCGGCCUCUCUGGCCCUCAUCAGAGAAUGUCUGCUGCCCCCAGCCCAGGCAGAAGAUGUGCGGGCUGCGCUGGUGGCCUUGAUAGCCCGGGAGGAAGAGUAAUCCUCCCAGCGGUAUUCUAACUGAUCCGGAGAACUGUCCAUCGUGGUGCUGUGAGCGCAUUCAUGAAUGCCUUCUCACUGGUUUCAGCAUAAGGGGAGGGAUAAAGAACCGAACCCUGGCCAUCAGUCUGACCAACUGCAACUAUGAGAGUGAAGCACCUAGCUCAUCACUCAAAUGACUGGGCAUCAGAGGAUAUUUAGGGUUGCAGUUUUCACUCUGAAGACCGCUCUCGCCAUUUGCUCGCAGCCCCUGGAUCUCGUUCAGUUCAGUUCAGUCACUCAGUGGAGUCCAACUCUUUGUGACUCCACGGACUGCAACAUGCCAGGCCUCCCUGUCUAUCACCAACUUCUGGAGCUUACUCAAACUCAUGUCCAUUGAGUCAGUGAUGCCAUCCAACCAUCUCAUCUUCUGUUGUCCCCUUGUCUCCCGCCUUCAAUUUUUCCCAGCAUCAGGGCCUUUUCCAGUGAGUCAGUCCUUUGAGUCAGGUGGCCAAAGUAUUGGAGUUUCAGCUUCAGGAUCAGUCCUUCCAAUUGAUAUACAGGACUGAUUUCCUUUAGGGUUAACUGGUUUGAUCUCCUUGCAAUCCAAGGGACUCGCAAGAGUCUUCUCCAACACCACAGUUCAAAAGCUUCAAUUCGUUAGGCUGACUUACAACUUGUCAUCUCCGUCCUUCAAACCUUAGCCUAGAUUUACCGCUAAAUCUGGACUCUCGGUGCAGCCCUGGCCUAGAGGUCAUCCAGGCGACAAGAAGUCCGUUUCCUAGAGGAGUUCAGUUCCCACAGCUCGGGGCUGUCGCCAUCAGAGAACCGCUGAGGGGACGCCCUUCCUGUGACCGUGGC